GCGAUGGCUGGCCGUUGUCAGUCCGAAAGAUAAUCCUAGGCUCGCCCUUGUGUUUCUUUGGGUACCCUGUUGUGUUGCUUCGCUUCGGUCUCUCCUUAGAAUUCGAGUGAUUCACAUCUUGGCCGUGCAGCAUUUGUUUUCCGUCCACCUAUCGUCAACUGAUGCCGGCGCCAGCUUAUUGUGCCGGUUUUUUGCUCUCCCUUUCCCCGUCUGGUCUCCCCCAUCAUUUUUACGGUGAAGUGGUGUUGAUUAUUUCAAAGCAAAGGAUAGACCAAGAGAGUUUGGUAACGUAUCUAUCACCACCAAGUGGAUGCAGGCAUCAAAUAAUUCAUUGAUAUACCGAUCUUUAGAAGUGAAAUACAAGAAGUGAGAAGAACCACUAUUGUCUGUUUUGGUGUUCAGUACCCCGAAUGGCCCCAUCAUGGAGUUCCAAAAGACACUCUUGUAGUGAUGACUGUGUGAUACCCUAACCAUUAUCAAGGGAUUUGUUACCGUUGUUACAGUCCCAGAGACCGCACUUAUUAUCCAAAGUAAUGCCGGAGCGAAGAUCCUUGAUGAGGUACUCGACGAAGAUAACAUCAAGUGCACUUAUAAGGAUGUACACAUUUUUUUUAAAAUGUUUAUUCUUUUGAGAAUUAAAUUACUCUAGUUGCUGAUAUAAUUUAUAUAUAUCAUUGGAAACACAUUGUAGUUGGUUCGGUGCCUCUGAUUGCUUCCUCUGUGA
Molecule: long non-coding RNA, 724 nt
Organism: Andrographis paniculata
Lineage: Eukaryota; Viridiplantae; Streptophyta; Magnoliopsida; Lamiales; Acanthaceae
Exons: 4
Source: RefSeq, a predicted model, not a curated record